GACGAACGCUGGCGGCGUGCUUAACACAUGCAAGUCGAACGGUGAAGCGAGUGCUUGCACUCGUGGAUCAGUGGCGAACGGGUGAGUAACACGUGAGUAACCUGCCCAUCACUCUGGGAUAAGCACUGGAAACGGUGUCUAAUACUGGAUACGACCAACCCUUGCAUGGGGUGUUGGUGGAAAGAUUUAUCGGUGAUGGAUGGACUCGCGGCCUAUCAGCUUGUUGGCGGGGUAAUGGCCCACCAAGGCGACGACGGGUAGCCGGCCUGAGAGGGUGACCGGCCACACUGGGACUGAGACGCGGCCCAGACUCCUACGGGAGGCAGCAGUGGGGAAUAUUGCACAAUGGGCGAAAGCCUGAUGCAGCGACGCCGCGUGAGGGAUGACGGCCUUCGGGUUGUAAACCUCUUUCAGCAGGGAAGAAGCGAAAGUGACGGUACCUGCAGAAGAAGCACCGGCCAACUACGUG
This 469-nucleotide ribosomal RNA is filed under the name uncultured bacterium. RNAcentral describes it as "partial 16S ribosomal RNA". It matches the Rfam family "Bacterial small subunit ribosomal RNA", at positions 28 to 507 of the family's 1533-position model. The record is from RNAcentral.